RNAcentral lists this ribosomal RNA (1343 nucleotides) under uncultured bacterium. RNAcentral describes it as "16S ribosomal RNA". It matches the Rfam family "Bacterial small subunit ribosomal RNA", at positions 28 to 1378 of the family's 1533-position model. The record is from RNAcentral.
GACGAACGCUGGCGGCGUGCUUAACACAUGCAAGUCGAACGGAAAGGCCCUGCUUUUGUGGGGUGCUCGAGUGGCGAACGGGUGAGUAACACGUGAGUAACCUGCCCUUGACUUUGGGAUAACUUCAGGAAACUGGGGCUAAUACCGGAUAGGAGCUCCUGCUGCAUGGUGGGGGUUGGAAAGUUUCGGCGGUUGGGGAUGGACUCGCGGCUUAUCAGCUUGUUGGUGGGGUAGUGGCUUACCAAGGCUUUGACGGGUAGCCGGCCUGAGAGGGUGACCGGCCACAUUGGGACUGAGAUACGGCCCAGACUCCUACGGGAGGCAGCAGUGGGGAAUAUUGCACAAUGGGCGGAAGCCUGAUGCAGCAACGCCGCGUGCGGGAUGACGGCCUUCGGGUUGUAAACCGCUUUCGCCCGUGACGAAGCGUGAGUGACGGUAAUGGGUAAAGAAGCACCGGCUAACUACGUGCCAGCAGCCGCGGUGAUACGUAGGGUGCGAGCGUUGUCCGGAUUUAUUGGGCGUAAAGGGCUCGUAGGUGGUUGAUCGCGUCGGAAGUGUAAUCUUGGGGCUUAACCCUGAGCGUGCUUUCGAUACGGGUUGACUUGAGGAAGGUAGGGGAGAAUGGAAUUCCUGGUGGAGCGGUGGAAUGCGCAGAUAUCAGGAGGAACACCAGUGGCGAAGGCGGUUCUCUGGGCCUUUCCUGACGCUGAGGAGCGAAAGCGUGGGGAGCGAACAGGCUUAGAUACCCUGGUAGUCCACGCUGUAAACGGUGGGUACUAGGUGUGGGGUCCAUUCCACGGGUUCCGUGCCGUAGCUAACGCUUUAAGUACCCCGCCUGGGGAGUACGGCCGCAAGGCUAAAACUCAAAGGAAUUGACGGGGCCCCGCACAAGCGGCGGAGCAUGCGGAUUAAUUCGAUGCAACGCGUAGAACCUUACCUGGGUUUGACAUGGAUCGGGAGCGCUCAGAGAUGGGUGUGCCUCUUUUGGGGUCGGUUCACAGGUGGUGCAUGGCUGUCGUCAGCUCGUGUCGUGAGAUGUUGGGUUAAGUCCCGCAACGAGCGCAACCCUUGUUCACUGUUGCCAGCACGUUAUGGUGGGGACUCAGUGGAGACCGCCGGGGUCAACUCGGAGGAAGGUGGGGAUGACGUCAAGUCAUCAUGCCCCUUAUGUCCAGGGCUUCACGCAUGCUACAAUGGCUGGUACAGAGAGUGGCGAGCCUGUGAGGGUGAGCGAAUCUCGGAAAGCCGGUCUCAGUUCGGAUUGGGGUCUGCAACUCGACCUCAUGAAGUCGGAGUCGCUAGUAAUCGCAGAUCAGCAACGCUGCGGUGAAUACGUUCCCGGG